ACNNNNNUNGGGNUAUUGCGCAUGCGCGAANCGUGACGCAGCAACGCCGCGUGGGGGAAGAAGGCCUUCGGGUUGUAAACCCCUUUCAGUUGGGACGAAGCUCUGCCGGUGAAUAGCCGGUUGGAGUGACGGUACCUUCAGAAGAAGCCCCGGCUAACUACGUGCCAGCAGCCGCGGUAAUACGUAGGGGGCAAGCGUUGUCCGGAAUCAUUGGGCGUAAAGAGCGUGUAGGCGGCUCGGUAAGUCCGCUCUGAAAGCCCGGGGCUCAACCCCGGGAGGCGGGCGGAUACUGUCGGGCUAGAGUCCGGAAGAGGCGAGUGGAAUUCCUGGUGUAGCNGGUGAAAUGCGCAGAUAUCAGGAGGAACACCAAUGGCGAAGGCAGCUCGCUGGGACGGUACUGACGCUGAGACGCGAAAGCGUGGGGAGCAAACAGGAUUAGAUACCCUAGUAGUCCACGCUGUAAACGAUGGGCACUAGGUGUGGGGGGUGUCGACUCCCUCCGUGCCGACGCUAACGCAUUAAGUGCCCCGCCUGGGGAGUACGGCCGCAAGGCUAAAACUCAAAGAAAUUGACGGA
Molecule: ribosomal RNA, 576 nt
Filed under: uncultured bacterium
Lineage: Bacteria
Description: bacterial SSU rRNA
Rfam family: Bacterial small subunit ribosomal RNA
Source: RNAcentral